Molecule: non-coding RNA, 889 nt
Organism: Chiloscyllium plagiosum (whitespotted bambooshark)
Lineage: Eukaryota; Metazoa; Chordata; Chondrichthyes; Orectolobiformes; Hemiscylliidae
Source: RefSeq, a predicted model, not a curated record
UUUAAUCUAUCUAUCUAUCCAUCUAUCUGUUUAAUCAAUUUAUCAAUCACUUGUUAGGGAAAGAUCAAGCACUAAUGCCCAACUCUUCCCCUUCUGUUCUCUGCCCCCUCUUCCCUUGACAGCUACUGUGCUUAUUUCCGAAUGAAGGAGGUAAGUCCCUCCUGCCGACUUGGGCUACGGACCAGCCGACUGUUCCGGGAGAAAUACGUGUGUGUGGAGUGCCAAGGAGAAGCCAUGGGGGUCAGAGAUCGUUGUGAAGGUGAUGGGCUGGAAGGAACCAGAACAUUCUGGAUAGCGGUCUCCAACGCUGGCUGCCAAGGAUCUUGGGUACGUGAAUCUCUGCAUGAAACUUGUCGCUGUCCCCCACAGUCGCUGAUCUUUGUUUAACGCUGCUCUGAAUUUGACACGGAACCCCAUACAGCAAUAGAAGUCAGCUCGGGGGAGCCACAGAGAGGAAAGCCCUGCGCAGAGCCAUCGUCACUCGCUGGACUCCUGCAUUUGGCAAUGAGAUGUGAGACAUGUAAAAAUGGCAGAAGGAAAGGCUAUGUAACCUUGCUGCAUGCUAUUUACCUCAGUAUCCUUCUACGUAAGCACAUGCAGAGUCUUAUAACCUCACGACAGAACAAUGAAAGUCUCAAAGCACAAAAAGAACAGCUAAGAACCUUUAAACCUUUUACCUCUGAAACUCUGCUGACAGCUACCUCCAUAAACACACUUGCAUUUAUUAAAAAAAACAAAAAAGUCCUUUCAAUGGUUUUCUACUAUUUGUCAAGUUUUUUUAAUUGUCUAUCCAUACGCUAUGUAACUGGGAACAGCAAAGAUGAGAAUAUUUAGAUGCAAAGACUGAAUAUUAUUUAAAAUUACUUUUGAAUAAAUCCAUUAUCAUGAU